AAGAGUAGUUGUCAGCCUGCACAAGCUAUUUUUCCUCUGAAACCGUGCCUAACAAUCUGAACAAGCCCCAGCUUGUUUUUGUUUUGAAUGGACGUGAAGGGAAGUGGUCAGAAUGGAGAAGAAACUACAGAAAACCAGCAACAUGAAAGCCCAGGGAUAUUUCUCUUUCUUAUUUCACUCAAAAAAGAGACAUUUAACAUGGAUCACAGUAGGGAUGAGUCAUAAGCUUAAGAAUUGAGGUUACUAGAUAAUUUUCUUCUUGAAAUUCACAACUGUUCCUUUGCUUUGUAGUACUGAGACCCAUUGCCCGUUGCUGAGUGGCACAGUUUUUGAUCGUUCCCUGUCUCACACCCAGCCAACUGGAACUGGCAGAAGCCGAUAAACCACAGCAUUUCUGCCCUGUACAUGUCUUGUUCCCCAGCUCCUGUCCAGUUCUUCAGUUGGCUGAUCUCGUACGGUGGGCUUUAAACUAGCUUCGCUGGGGGAAGGGGCUGCUUCGAGUGGAGAGGAUGCUUCACCAGCAUGCAGAGUGACAAGAGGAAGGGAAGCCCAGGUAAGCAUCAACGUCCAGGGAGCAGGGGGCCACAACUCUCCUGGGAGUGGGAGGGAGGCACGUGCACCCUCAGAAGGCCUCAGGUGCCUCUACACUAAUGCUCAUAGUAUGGGGAGUAAGCAGGAGGAACUAUGCCUCCUGAUUGCGAGUAAGAACCCAGACUUAGUAGGGCUCACAGAAACCUGGUGGGACGCUACCUAUGACUGGGUGGUGGGCAUUCAGGGAUACACCCUAUAUAGAAGACACAGGACAGAGAGGAAAGGUGUGGGGGUUGCACUCUAUGUCAAAGAGCACCUCACAUCAUCAAGGAUUAGCUUCGGGUUAGAGGAGGGUCUGGCAGAGACACUAUGGGUCAAACUACAAGGGGGGUGUGGUGAAAGGGACCUUACAGUGGGUGUCUACUACAGACCACCCAACCAGGGGGAAGAGCUAGACCAGGACUUCUCCAGUCAGCUUAUGGAGGCGGUUAGGUCAAGGGAUGUUAUUGUCAUGGGUGACCUAAACUACCCAGACAUUUGCUGAGAGGAGCAGACAGCCAGGUCUGACCGCUCGUGUAGGUUCCUGGCUGUAUUACAGGACCUCCACCUUAUCCAGGAAGUGCACAGUCCCACUAGGGGUAAUGCCUUGCUGGACCUGGUCCUGGCCACGGGGGAUGACCUGGUGAGGGGACUGGGCAAUAGCGAUCAUCACCUGCUGGAUUUCAUUAUCCAACACCAAAGCUAAAGCCCUUGACUUCAGAAGGGCAAACUUCAAUGAGCUUAGGAAACCAGUGGGGGAGGCACUGAGGGCCCAGAAGGUAGAGGAGAUGGGAGUCUAUGAGGAAUGGCUGUACCUUAAGGGGGCAAUCCUCCAGGCCCAAAGGAUAACAGUCCCUGAGAGAAGCAAGGUAGGUAAGAGUGCUCAGAAACUCCUUUGGCUCAGCAAGGGCAUUCAGGAAUGCCUGAGGACUAAAAGAGGCGUUCAACCAGUGGAAGGGAGGAACUAUCACCAAGGAGGAGUACUUCUCCUUGGCCCGGGAGUGUAGGAGGGCUAUUAGGAAGGCCAAGGCAGAGAUGGAACUCAGGCUAGCGUCCAGGAUUAAGGACAACAAAAAGUCUUUUUUUCAAGUACAUUGGGAGCAAGAAGAGGGCACCAGGCAAUGUAGGGCCCCUGCAAGACACAAACAGUAAUCUUGUGGCUAUGCCAGACAAGAAAGCUGAUAUUUUUAACAGUUUCUUUGCCUCUGUUUUCUUGAACAGGGACCAGGACAUCCCACCUACCAGAGAUAGGGACAAUCUUGGGGAUAGCUCUAUCAGGCCUUCAGUCAGCACAGAGGUAGUUAGGGAUCUUCUGGAAGGGCUAGACAUUUUUAAAUCUGCAGGUCCAGACACCCUCCACUCAAGGGUGUUGAGGGAGCUGGCAGGGGUCAUUGCAGAGCCCUUAGCCCAGCUGUAUGAGCAUUCGUGGUCAUCUGGCCAGGUGCCGGGGGAUUGGAAACUGGCUAAUGUGGUCCUAAUUUUCAAGAAGGGGAAGAAGGAGGACCCAAGUAACUAUAGGCCCUUAAGCCUCACCUCGGCGCUCAGGAAGAUCUUGGAGAGAAUCUUCAAGGAGCACAUCUGUGGGGGACUUGCAGGGGAGAUCAUGCUUAGGGGUAAUCAGCAUGGGUUCAUCAAAGGCAGAUCCUGCCUGAUGAACCUGAUUGUCUGUUAUGACCAAGUAACUAAAUCCUUGGAUGAUGGUGUCACCGUAGUCUUUCUAGACUUUAAGAAGGCUUUUGACACUGUCUCUCACCCCAUCCUCAUCAAUAAAUUAAGCGACUGUGGCAUUGAUGCCUGCACAGUUGGAAUGGGUAAAAAAUUGGCUGAUGGGGCGCACCCAGAGAGUAGUGGUGGACGGGUUGUACUUAACCUGGUGAGAUGUGAGCAGUGGGGUACCCCAGGGCUCAGUUCUCGGGCUCACACUGUUUAACACCUUCAUCAGCGACUUGGACAAGGGGGUAGAAAGCACACUGUCCAAAUUUGCUGAUGACACUAAGAUGUGGGGCAAGGUGGACACACCUGAAGGGAGAGAGAGGCUGCAAAUAGAUUUAAAUAGACUACAAAAGUGGGCAUAUGAGAAUAGGAUGGGGUUCAACGUAGACAAAUGCAGGGUGCUGCACCUUGGGAGAAGGAAUCCACAGCAUACAUACAGGCUGGGGAGUUCCCUUCUUGAAAGCACAGAGGCAAAAAGGGAUCUUGGAGUCAUUAUUUACUCCAAGAUGAACGUAAGCCGCCAAUGCCAGACCGCAGCCAGCAAGGCCAGCCAUACCUUGUCAUGCAUCCAAAGGUGCAUCUCAAGCCGGUCCAGAGAGGUGAUACUCCCCCUCUAUGCAACUUUGGUCAGGCCGCAGUUGGAGUACUGCAUCCAGUACUGGGAGAUGCACUUCAAAAGGGAUGUGGCCAGCCUGGAGAGGGUUCAGAGGAGGGCCACCCGCUUGGUGAGAGGGCAGAACGACAGGCCCUACGAGGAGAGACUGAAGGACCUAAACCUGUUCAGCCUCAGCAAGAGGAGGCUAAGGGGGGACCUAGUGCUGCCUACAAGCUCAUCAGGGGAGAUGAACAGCAAAUAGGCAGAGCCCUAUUCUCCCCAGCACUACCUGGGGUGACAAGGAACAAUGGUAACAACCUGAUGGAGAAUAGGUUUAGGUUAGAGAUCAGAAGGCAAUAUUUUACAGUUAGGGUGGCCAAAAUCUGGAACCAACUCCCCAGGGAAGUGGUCCUCGCCCCUACUUUGGGCAAAUUCAAGAGGAGGUUGGACGAUCACCUGUCUGGGGUCUUGUGAACACAGCAUUCAUUCCUGCCUGUGGCAGGCGGUCAGGCUAGAUGAUCUGUUCAGGUCCCGCCUGACCCUAGCUACUAUGAAACUAUAAAGAAUCCAUCAACAAUAGCCUAACAGAAGGCAUCAUACUGAGAGACAGUCAAAACGGCCAACAUGGCUUUGUUGUGGGUAGGUCAUGCCUGACCAACCUUGUCUCCUUCUAUGACCAGGCGACAUGGCAUCUGGACAGGGGAGGAGAGGUUGAUGUCAUUUACUUGGAUUUCAAAAAAGCCUUUGACUUGGUCUCCCAUGAUGUCCUCAUAACAAAAUUGUGGAACUGUGGCCUCAACAAACUUACAGUUCAAUAGCUGGGGAACUGGCUCCAUGGUGGGACCCAGAGAGUGAUAGUCAACUGUUCGGGCCGGGGGCGAGCCGGGCCCGUCUUUGCGCACGCGGGCUGCGGCCAGCAGCCCGGGCACGCGGGGCCGGAGAGGACCGUGCGGCAGCAAGGCACGCAUGGGCUAGAAUUAGUCACAGAGGUGUAAUGGUUUAUUUAAAGAUUAUUUACUUAUACCCAAGAUGGUCGCGGUGUAGGCUGGACAGUUUCCAGGUGCAGCUCCGCUUAAAUCCUCGUUGGAGGACUACGACAAAUUCGGUUCUUUGGCCCCGGAGUUGUUAAGGCUCCACGGGUUCGGCAAUUUCUUUCCCACGGAGUUGUCGAAGCUCCGUGGGUUUGAAUCUUGAGUAUAUAGGAAAGGGAUACGUCUAGGAUUGCACUCAGCAACGGGGAGAGGCCAGAGGCUGUUUAGACCUCUGAUGCCUGCUUAAGAAAUGCGUUGGGUCCAUGAGGAUCCGCAGCGCUUAGAGAUCUUCACACAGAGUGAAGUCUCCUCCUCCUGGUGUUCGUGGAGUCCUCCAACUUGGGCGGAAACCACACAAGCUCUUUAUACUGCUAGCAAGCCAAUCGCUAGCCGCCAUGUGUGCAUAAUUUAGAAUCGGCCAAUAAUGUGGCAUGAAUCUUCAUACAAAUUGUGGGAACUCCUUUGCUCUGUGCAUUUCUGAGAUGCAAAAGAAAUGCACCAUGCAAAGAAAGCUACAAAUUGGCGGGAAAUUCCCCAUUGCACCGGAGUUCUCUCCUGCAGCAGAGAACUCCACUGUGCAAGGAAGCUGCAAUUUAGCGGGAACAUAAUUUAGCGAUGCCAAAGCACACACAAACAAAAACUCACAACUUUGGGUUGUGACAUCAACCAAGCCAACAUGGUGCAUAGUGACCAGUGACAUCCCACAGGGUUCAGUACUCAGGCAAGUACUCUUUAACAUAUUCAUAAAUGACCUGGAUUUGGGUGUUACAAGCAGAUAAUACCAAAUUAUGGGGAAGCACAGUCACACUACAGGAUAGGCUUAGGAUUCAGGCCAACUUGGACAGGCUCACAAAGUGGAUGGAUCAAAACCUGGUAACUUUCAACAUAGAGAAAUGCAAGGUGCUCCACCUCAGGAGAAAGAACCCACAACAUACCUAUAGGCUCAUCAGUGCUACACUCAUUAGCACAAUGACCGAAAGAGACUUAGGGGUCAUGAUCAACCAUGAGAUGAAUAUGAGCCACCAAUGCAAUGCUGCAGCUGGCAAAGCAAAUAAAACUCUGGCUUGCAUCUACCAAUUCAUCUCAAACAAGACCCAAAUUAUCAUCCUUCCGCUUUAUUCGGCUUUGGUGAGGCUGCAACUGGAGUACUGCAUCCAGUUCUGGGUUCCACACUUUAGGAAGGACAUGAAGAAGCUUGAGAGACUCCAGAGGAGAGCCACACACAUGAUCAGAGGUCAAGAGAGCAGGCCUUAUGAGGAGAGGCUGAGAGGCAUGGAACUCUUCAGCUUUGAAAGCACAGGCCCAGGGGGGACUUGGUGGCAGUCUAUACGUAUAUCAGAGGCAUGCAUCAGGAUCUGGGAGAACAUGUGUUCACCAGGGCCCUCCAAGGGAAGACAGGGUCCAAUGGGCACAAACUGCUGGAAGACCAUUUUAGACUGGAAAUAAGGAAAAACUUCUUUAUUGUCCAAGUCUCCAGAGUCUGAAAUAGAUUCCCCCCAGAAGUAGUGCAAGCACCUACUCUGGACAUGUUCAAGAAGCGUUUGGAUGAUUAUCUUGCUAGGGUCAUCUGACCCCAGCUGACUUCCUGCCCUUUGGGCAGGGGGCUCUACCCAGUGAUCUCAUGAGGUCCCUUCCAGCCCUAAUGUCUAUGAAAUCUAAGAAAUCUUAGGUGCAGAAUUCACAAACAGGAGCAAGAAGAACUUACCAGUCAAUUUGCAUUACCAGUUAAGGAGCUCAAGCAGGAUUGAAUAGAAAUGCACUUAGAUUCCCAAGUACUAUUUAUACUCCAUAGAGGAGAAAUAGGAUUUGGGUCUUCAUCUUUAUGGUUGCCAGCAAAACCUUCAAAACAAACUGGGUGAGACCAAUGCAAUUUUACUAGAAGAAAGCCUUAAGUAAUAAACUCUGAGGACACACGACACAUUAACAUGGGUACAAUUUGCACUGGUUUUGAAGACAAGUAAGUCUCACAGCAUUUAGAGGACAUGAGACAACCAGCUAUUAAACGGCAGCUGUUGUAGUAAGCACUGCUACAGCCCUUUGUCACUCGGGGAGCAGCCUGUUUGCAUUGAUAGAAGCAGACUUGAAAUACUUCCACCAGUGCAACUGACACCAGUUUAGUUUUACCCUGAUUUUCCCCAGCAUCCCAGUAAAUUACACUGUCCCUAUCCACUGUGAGUCCACCUCUUGUUUACACUGCUGCAUGGGCAGGCUAUACCAGUGUAAAUGUGUCACGUAAGUAGGGUAAAUGUGAGACAUGAAUGACCCAUCUAUCUUCUGGGGGUGUUAACUCAACAAUGAUGCCGAUAUAAACACCACUACCAUCAAAACACAGAGCAAAAGAAAAGAAUCAUAUCACCACUCAUGAGUGGCAUCUCAUUUGGCUGGAACUCAGUUUGUAAGCAGAGACUGAAGAGUGACACUGCUUCUCCCCUGAACAUAGUCUGCUUUUAUAGUGGCUUAAUGAGUGAGACGUUACAGCUGUUGGGUUCCCUAGCCCUUCCUGCUGGAUGAACAAGAGGAAAUCAUUUGUUUUCUUCCCCUACUUAUGUUCCAUGAUGGUUCAGCCAUAGGGAUGGACUCAGAGCCCAGAGAAAAGAAUGGGGACAAGAGGGACAACUUCCAUACAUGCCCCAGGAAGCAGAAAGACUGAUGCUGCCCCAGCACAUUUUCCAUGCCAAAUUCCAAUGUAAGCUAUCUUUUUCUGUUGAAAAUUUAGAUUUAGGCAAAACUCCACUUUCUAAUGGGAAACUGUUGAGUUCUAAGCUUUUCUGACCAUACUCCCUAAAUAUGCCUCAUGAAGGAUAAGAGUGAAGAUAGGAAGGAAGCAGCUUGACCAAGGUUAUCUACCAAGUCAGUGCCACACCUGGGAACAGAACUUCAGUAUCCUGACUCCCGAGCUACUGUCCCGGCUGUUAGCCCAUGCUUCCUCUUCUUUCUUUUAUUGCUAACCUAAAUAAGACCAAGCAUAUUUCACCCAAGUUUGGCUGAUUUUUUACAUUUGGUCCUUUUUACUUAGUUCCCUCUCAAAGAUUCAAGUCACUAAACUGAAAUGACAUAGACCCACCUAACCAGCUGCUAGGAUUGUCAGUAGAUUAGUCUUACAUUGUUGAUACCAUCUCAUACCAUCUUAAUGAUACCCUGUUACAUUGCUGCAUAGCACAGGACUCUUGCAGUGUUAACACUUGGUCACUGAAAAGUAUAUAAAAGACUGGGUAGGGUGCCAAUUAUGCAUUAGUCACUAGUGUAAAAAUGAAGGGGAUUGAUUCUUCAUUAUGAUCUAAUAGCCUAAAAAAAUAUAACUAAAACCAGUAUUUGGAGCAAAGGACAGCACAAUGAAAUGCCAAUAGCUACAAUACACUAACGUGAAAACAGGAACAUUUUCUUUAAUCAGUGAGUGCCUUUUUAUUAUGCCCAAAUUGUCUUUUCAUUUAAAAAGUUUACCUUAAAAACUGAAGUAAAGGAGAAUGAAUGCCCGUAGUUUACAAGGGGCCUCUGAACUUUUAACCUCUAGACUCUUUGUUUAUCGGUUUUAAUUUGGCUCAGGUCAGCAGAGGCUAGAAGUCAUUAAUAUCUGAGCACCAUUCAGUAGAGAUCUGCUAAACCUUUUGUCCUAAACCCAACCUCAGCCAAGGUUCAGUAACCUUUCAGACAAACCUUCAAAGAACUUCAUGAGCAUCAGCAAACUAUUUAUUGCCUGGACUCAAAACCAUGAAAAAAUUGUCAGUUUGGCUUUGAUUUGGGGGUUGUUCAAGGUAAAAAAUAAUCAAAGCAGAAUUAUGAGGCACAAUGGGAGAAGCAAAUCUGCCAAAACCUGAAAAAAAAGUUAUUCAACCCUACUUGCCAAACAAAGGGUCAUAUUUUAUACAGCAGAGGCCUCCAUUAAAUGUGUUGGUAUCUGAAUAGAGCCUUGUGGACCUCUGACAAUAUCAAAUAAACAUCACAAUAGCUGUCACAAAUUGGCAUCCUGAUAAGAGAAGCCUUUCCACCUCGAUCAAUCAUCUUACCCUCAGAGGUGGCUCAUCUGAGGAUACAGGAAAUUGGCAAGCCCUUGAAACAUGUAAACUGUACCUAUCUUCUCUGUGCAUGCAUUCUCCAGAGCUAUCUGUCUACCCUCAUAGGAUUACAUUUUAAAAUAAAAGUUUUUCACUUCUCAGCCAAGCUUCAGACAAAAGUGCAUUUUUCCUUAAGUUUAAAACCUUGAAACUAGAGGUUAACAAUGAAAGCACUGACAGGCCCAUAACUGUAGUGGUGCUAGUAGGCACAAUAUACUAAUUUCUGCUCUAGAUAAAUCAAAUUUUAUGAUCUACACAAAAAAAGCAACCUGAGUUGAAGUGAUACAAAAGACAACUGUCUGGAUUCUAGUUCUUUAUCUCAUCCAUCUCAAAAUGUGCAGCACCAGCAUUGGCAAUUUGGGGCAAAGCAUUUUUUUCCCUGGCUUUCCCAUAACAGAUUCCUAUCUAAUGUCAUAAACCACUAGACAUUUGGCUGGUGAAGGAUUUUGUGGAGGAUUAACAAAAGAAUUGGAGCAUGUUCUAGACCUCCCUGACUCAUUUAAUUUUGUGUGUGUGUGUGUGUGUGUGUGUGUGUGUGGAACAUGAGGGAAAAAUAUGUAAAUCUUCAUGUUCCCCCUUUCAACAUACUUCUGCUGCAGACUUUUGCCAGCUGUUUGCUCUAUUCAACGCUUCCAGCCAGUUUACAACAAUUUAUGGUUUCAAAAAAGAAGAGAAGGGUAGAAAAUACAUAAUCGUUUGUUAAACAAUAAAACCCAACAUACUUCCAUGCAUUCCCAGCUUUCCCAGGCCAGGAAACCCUUGCAGUGGUAGGUUUCACAUAGACCUGGUUGGAAAUUUUCCAGGGAAGCAAAGUUUCAUCAGAAAAUGCAGUUCACUGAGCCAACUUCGGUGUUUUUUUAAACAUCUUGGGUGUGAGGCAUUUUUACUGAAUCCAAAGCAGGACUGGAAAGGAACCCUGUCCAGAUUAUCUGGGGAUUAUCCCUGGGCUAAGGACCCUGCUUUAGGAGGGAUCUCCCUGGAGAACCUGUCCCAGAGUCACAAACCCAAGAAGCAUGGGCUGCCUAGACCUAACACACUCUGCUUUCCAAGUCUGUCCCAGAACCAGAAAUAUGGAAACUCAGGGUCCCUAGCCCAGGCACAGACAAGACCUGGGGGCUGCCAUAGACCCUGGAACCUGAGAGCAUCCUGCAAGCACUAAAUAAAAUUGACAUUCUUGUCAUUUUCAGUUCCCUAUCUGCUUUAGCAGUGAAAAUAACAAGCAUAUCCAUUUUAUCAAGCAGCUGUAAGGGGAUUUCUGGUUUGUAGGGACUUUUUAAAAAAUUUGGUACCACUUAACUGAAACCAAAUAGAGAGAGAAAGAAACUGCUUUUUGGCCAGCUCUAGUUUUGUAGAAUCACUGCAGAUGAUUUUUCUGAAUACUCACAAUAAUUCCACGUGCUGCUAUCAUAAGUGUCACAGUCGCAGUACCUCAGUGCUCUUUUCAAAGUGGCAGCUUCUAGAGUCAUGUGAUUAUGACAAAUUCAUUGCCACCACCAUCAGCAAAAAAUACUUCUAGUGGUUCUUUUUUGGAAAGAAAACUUGAAAAUGUGAACCCUAAAAGCAUGAAAACUGGAAGGUAAAUGAAAAGAACCCCACAUCUGAUAUAUCUUUAAAAUCACAUGAUUCUGGAGAGCUCAGUUGAUGAUUUUUGAACACCUGGAAUUGCCAGGAAUGAAUAUAUAAACUAACUAUAUAGACAGAGUAAUCUCUCCAGCAUCCUCCUUACUAGCUGCUAAGAGCCACUAAAUCACUUAAUUGAGGCCCUGGGAGCAGAAUCCAGAAUCCUGUGAUAGGCACGUGGACUUCUUACACACUGGGGACAGCAUGCUGAGGAGGGAACUGACUUAAGUCAGCAUCUUCAGCAUGCAGCCAAGUAGCACUAGGUAAUAGGAAAUGUUGAGGGUAGGGACGAGUCCUAAAGAAAGAUCCAUUCCCUUGGGAUCCACAAGCUAGGGCCCUUAUCUGAAGAUAGGUACUUCUACACUUUUCUUUGCAGAACUAAGCACAGCUCAGUCUUUGCUUUUGAAACACAGCUGGUAGUAUCAUCCGCCCUUUAUAUUACAGCCCUCCCUUCUACCAGCUAGAUGUAGAGUAGGGCAACAGACCUCUCCAAUGGCUAUGGCCAAUUCUUCCCACUCAACUAGGAUUAGAAAAGAUAUCCAGCCAAGCCACCAGGUUCCUCACAAUGUAUUUACUGUUCUGAGAUAGACUUUCAAUCUCUGUUUUUCAAAAAUCUACUUGGUAACAAUCUUCCCUGCACUCUCUGCUCAAUUUAGAUUAUAACCAAUUUGGGAAAUGGAAAGGGAGGGGAGGUCUAUCCCCUUAAAGGUAGGGGACAAGAGAAGCAGGCAGACUCUGUUCCUUGGAAUGGUCCCUUUACUUUUCCAGGGAAAACCCCAAGGCCUAGCUACUGGCAAAAGCAUACUGUGACAGAGACAUGAAGUGGUCCAGUAGGAUUAGCAAGAGUUGAGGGGAUUGAUAUGGUAUGGGCAUUUAAGGCAAACAGUUGCCCAGAGGUUGCAGGUUUCAGACCACACCAGAAGUGCUCACUACAUGGUCCCUGUCAGAUUCCAACGAAUCUGUGAAUUACACUAAAUACCUGAUCACAAGGAAAAAGGAAAGGAAGCUAUUGUUGAGGAAAGCACAUACUAUUGCUUAUUUAAGGAACAGAAUCCUUGUAGUAAAAGAUGGGGUGAGGUUAACCUCUCAACCAGCCAGCCAGACAAACCCAGGGAAGGUGGGCAACGUAUUUUCAUUCUCCAACACUAUAACCUGCAUUAGUGAGCUUUUCCAACUCUAAGCUGAAUGGAAAAGAUGGUUUAUUUGAACUGAAGACUCCUCUAAAGUGGGUUGGACUUUAGGGGACAAGAAGAGAUUGAAACUUAAAGCAUCUGCACACAUGCAAGCACCACAGUACUGGGCGCUUUGAAAAGCAAUUAAUCAAGUCUGCUCUGAAGCAGCGGAUCUCCAGCAUGUCCAAGAACUAAAAGGCACGUGUAUAAAUGUCAUUUAAUCAAUACUUCUUCCUAAAAGGGGAUCUUGUUCUAAAUAAUCUGGUCUGAGGAUAAAUUAUUGCAGGUCCCAAGUGGAAAUUGAGGGCAGAAGGCUUGAAGGGCCUUUCUUUUUCUGCCACCAGAGUGUAUGCCUGGGCAUGGGUGACUAGUGCUGUCUUAGUCGGGGCGGGGGCACAUGCCCCCACAGUGACCAGUCAGUGACUUGGGGGGGGCCUCUCGCAGCCAAUCUCACUGACCGGGGGUGGGGGGGUCUGGCCACUUCCAGAAGUGGCUGCAGCCACAUCUGGGAGCACCAUGGUGCUCCACUCACCAGCCGGCGCUUGCAAGGGGGGGCAUUAUAUCUUGUAUAAGGCAACAGAUAUUCCAUUAUAUACUAUACAGAGCAAGCAACUUAAAGCUCUCAUGCACACCUCUGUAUAUGUUUGUACUGGAGAGUGUUGUAGAAUGUCAGCAACAAAUUCCAGGGUUUAAGCAUGAUUUAUUGCUCUGUUCUGUUCUCAAACAGUAGUCAAAUGAUCAGUUCCCUGCUCUGUGACCUUCUUCAUCACCUAUUUGCUGCAAGAAACUUGUGGGCAGAUAUCUUAAUUAUUUGUUCUCCUACUAUGUAUGCAGUAGUACUAGUCUUUGCUCCAUUUAGGAAACAGAGAUCAAGGAUUAGUGCACACUUUAGUUAUAAAUGUUUAGUGUUUAAACAUUUGCAUCCUGGAAUCAGAGAUCCCUCUAGUCUCUCUUUCCUGGUAAAGCCAGCACCUUAAAAUUGUUGUUUGCACAGGCAUUUUCAACAUGAGGUGACUAUGAUAGACACAUUGGUAACAAUGAUGUGACAUUUUUAGUGUCCACUCAUGGCUGAAGCUUCUAAUUUGUGACUUAAAUGUUAGGAACAGCAGAUGUGUUGUUACGGCUGGUGAGUCUGAUACCCUGAACUUAACAACUAUUGUAGAUAGAGCUGGUAUUUAGUUUGCAGUCAGAUAAGACAUUGGCGCAUGACAUCAUAAGAACUGAGAAGUGAUGCGCAAAUUAAAAUGUUCUCAAACUACACACUUCAGCAGCAAUGUUUCAAUUAAAAGUUCUGAUUUUUUUUAAUGAGAGCUUCCCCUGGGCUUUUUUAAACAGUCUUUUGUCCCCAUGUUUAAAUAAAACAGGAUUCAUAAUAUACCUGCUGUAUGCACAACUGAUGCCAGUUUCUAAUGUAAAGGCCAGUGCACCACCUAGCCAGUACCUACUCCCCCUGUGUGAUGGGCUAGCUGGCAGUGACCUAGCCCAGGGAUUUUGAAAGGGCAAAAGAUGAUUGGAGGACUUGGGAUUCCCUUUCCUCACCAAUCAGGUCCAGAGAUUCACCCCUCAUGUCCCCUGAUUGGCCCCUUGGGUCACCUGGAGGGGGAUAAAAGAGGCAGCAUGGCUGACUCAAGAGGAGAUCAGUGAGAGAUUAUGAGCAAGGAGCUUCGAAGAGCUGGCAAGAGCUGAGCUAACGGGGCGGAAGCAGUUGCCCCAGAAGAGCCUGAAGGAGCAGGACCUGCGGGCAGCAGUGGGACCCUCAGCAGCACGGUGUGUGGCCGGCAAGAGAGGCAUCCUGCUGGGCUCCAGGAUCCCCUACAAGAAGCUGUGGCCAGCAGGAGGAUCUGAGCAGUGAGCUGAGGGGUCCCAGCUUGGCUUCCAGCUGCUCCAAUCAGAGACCAGGCAGCUCAACAUGAGGCCGGGGCUCCAGGAAGGUCAAGACCCCUAGCAGCCUGGAGCAGUACCAGCAGUGGUGACUGUGUGGCAAGUGUUCUUGCCCACUAUGUGGAAGAUCUGAGUUCAAUUCCCAGCUUUGGUGACUUGGGGAGAGUGAGCUAACAAAGAGAAAUUCCUCUUGCAGGAGCCAUUGUGUUUUCCCCCCUUUCUCCCACUCCAGUGACCCAGGCCCUAUAUUUCUUUGUCCUUUGACAUUUUGUAUUUUGUGCCUUUUUAUAUUUCCCCAACCAGUAUUGUUUGCUCUGUUGUUUGUGUUUUGUGUUUUAUAUUUUGUUAACCCUGUUUUUUGUCAAUGAUUGUAAGUGUCUAACCUUUGUUGAAUCCUGCCCCUUGGGGCAUUGUCAUGUCCACUAUACCCCCCUGAUUAUGCCUGUUAUGUUCCCUCAUUAAAAGGUAUAUGGUUAAGU
Long non-coding RNA from Alligator mississippiensis (American alligator), 13113 nucleotides. RefSeq lists it as uncharacterized. The record is from RefSeq and is a predicted model, not a curated record. Lineage: Eukaryota; Metazoa; Chordata; Crocodylia; Alligatoridae. The transcript is spliced from 3 exons.